UGAGUGCAAGAAGCAGAAUGACCAUAAGAUGCAAAAGAAGGCCAUAGAAAGCAGUCUUGUUCCUGUGCGAAUCUCUCCCUCUCUCUCUCUUUCUUUCUCCACAAAACACACAUUUGUUCAUAUAUACUUUCUUUAACUCGGUUUAUGUAAUUAGGUUUUUGAAAGAUUGCAAACAAAUGCUUCUUGUAGGGUUUCCUGUUGGUAUGAAUGAUAUCUAUUAUUUUACUUUGAAUUGUAUCUUCUGCAAGAUGGAUCUAUUGGUUUUCAAAAACAAUUUCUCGUUUCCUUUGUCUUGCUUGUGUUACAGUUAAAUGAAAUUUAUUGUGAUCAGCACUAUUAGUUCUUUUUUGUCAGUCUUUUUAAGAUUCAAAUUAUUUGGUAUUGUUCAAACUUUCACUUGAUACAAGUCAACGUUCUCCAUUUUGAUAAUAUUUUGUACUUGCUCCAGUUAUGAGCCAUUU
This 461-nucleotide long non-coding RNA is filed under the name Actinidia chinensis (golden kiwifruit). RNAcentral's name for it is "long non-coding RNA (ACHI_LNC000715)". The record is from RNAcentral. Lineage: Eukaryota; Viridiplantae; Streptophyta; Magnoliopsida; Ericales; Actinidiaceae.